UGGGGAAUUUUCCGCAAUGGGCGAAAGCCUGACGGAGCAAUACCGCGUGAGGGAGGAAGGCUCUUGGGUUGUAAACCUCUUUUCUCAGGGAAUAAAAAAAUGAAGGUACCUGAGGAAUAAGCAUCGGCUAACUCCGUGCCAGCAGCCGCGGUAAUACGGAGGAUGCAAGCGUUAUCCGGAAUGAUUGGGCGUAAAGCGUCCGCAGGUGGCACUGUAAGUCUGCUGUUAAAGAGCAAGGCUCAACCUUGUAAAGGCAGUGGAAACUACAGAGCUAGAGUACGUUCGGGGCAGAGGGAAUUCCUGGUGUAGCGGUGAAAUGCGUAGAGAUCAGGAAGAACACCGGUGGCGAAAGCGCUCUGCUAGGCCGUAACUGACACUGAGGGACGAAAGCUAGGGGAGCGAAUGGG
Molecule: ribosomal RNA, 407 nt
Filed under: Bacillota bacterium
Lineage: Bacteria; Bacillati; Bacillota
Description: Firmicutes bacterium partial 16S ribosomal RNA
Rfam family: Bacterial small subunit ribosomal RNA
Source: RNAcentral